This 676-nucleotide ribosomal RNA is filed under the name uncultured bacterium. RNAcentral's name for it is "bacterial SSU rRNA". It matches the Rfam family "Bacterial small subunit ribosomal RNA", at positions 814 to 1490 of the family's 1533-position model. The record is from RNAcentral.
GAUUUGAAGGUUGUUCCCUUGAGGAGUGGCUUUCGGAGCUAACGCGUUAAAUCGACCGCCUGGGGAGUACGGCCGCAAGGUUAAAACUCAAAUGAAUUGACGGGGGCCCGCACAAGCGGUGGAGCAUGUGGUUUAAUUCGAUGCAACGCGAAGAACCUUACCUACUCUUGACAUCCAGAGAACUUAGCAGAGAUGCUUUGGUGCCUUCGGGAACUCUGAGACAGGUGCUGCAUGGCUGUCGUCAGCUCGUGUUGUGAAAUGUUGGGUUAAGUCCCGCAACGAGCGCAACCCUUAUCCUUUGUUGCCAGCGAUUCGGUCGGGAACUCAAAGGAGACUGCCGGUGAUAAACCGGAGGAAGGUGGGGAUGACGUCAAGUCAUCAUGGCCCUUACGAGUAGGGCUACACACGUGCUACAAUGGCGUAUACAAAGAGAAGCGACCUCGCGAGAGCAAGCGGAACUCAUAAAGUACGUCGUAGUCUGGAUUGGAGUCUGCAACUCGACUCCAUGAAGUCGGAAUCGCUAGUAAUCGUAGAUCAGAAUGCUACGGUGAAUACGUUCCCGGGCCUUGUACACACCGCCCGUCACACCAUGGGAGUGGGUUGCAAAAGAAGUAGGUAGCUUAACCUUCGGGAGGGCGCUUACCACUUUGUGAUUCAUGACUGGGGUGAAGUCGUA